ACGGGUGAGUAACGCGUGGGAAUCUACCGUGCCCUGCGGAAUAGCUCCGGGAAACUGGAAUUAAUACCGCAUACGCCCUACGGGGGAAAGAUUUAUCGGGGUAUGAUGAGCCCGCGUUGGAUUAGCUAGUUGGUGGGGUAAAGGCCUACCAAGGCGACGAUCCAUAGCUGGUCUGAGAGGAUGAUCAGCCACAUUGGGACUGAGACACGGCCCAAACUCCUACGGGAGGCAGCAGUGGGGAAUAUUGGACAAUGGGCGCAAGCCUGAUCCAGCCAUGCCGCGUGAGUGAUGAAGGCCUUAGGGUUGUAAAGCUCUUUCACCGGAGAAGAUAAUGACGGUAUCCGGAGAAGAAGCCCCGGCUAACUUCGUGCCAGCAGCCGCGGUAAUACGAAGGGGGCUAGCGUUGUUCGGAAUUACCGGGCGUAAAGCGCACGUAGGCGGAUAUUUAAGUCAGGGGUGAAAUCCCAGAGCUCAACUCUGGAACUGCCUUUGAUACUGGGUAUCUUGAGUAUGGAAGAGGUAAGUGGAAUUCCGAGUGUAGAGGUGAAAUUCGUAGA
RNAcentral lists this ribosomal RNA (557 nucleotides) under uncultured bacterium. RNAcentral's name for it is "bacterial SSU rRNA". It matches the Rfam family "Bacterial small subunit ribosomal RNA", at positions 102 to 694 of the family's 1533-position model. The record is from RNAcentral.